Molecule: long non-coding RNA, 446 nt
Filed under: Panax ginseng (ginseng)
Lineage: Eukaryota; Viridiplantae; Streptophyta; Magnoliopsida; Apiales; Araliaceae
Description: long non-coding RNA (PGIN_LNC014721)
Source: RNAcentral
AAAAUCACUUAGACUUCGUGGGUCCCUCUCAAAUACUCUAUUUCAUCACUUCCCACGUAAAUCUACUCCCAAUUUUCACAAGGUAGUUCUAAUUCCUUCUUUAAUGUGUGUUAUUUUGAUUUACAUAUAGAAGUUCUUGUUUUAAUAAUCUUUUUUGUAAAAAUUAAUAUCGUGGGAGUGUUGUAAAGUACAUUGGGAUUAAAUGUAGCUGCUUUUAGCUGUUCUGCAACUUCCCUAAUUUUUGAAGAAUCAUCAGAAGAAGAUGAAGAAAACCGAGUAAAUUCAGUUAUCAUGGGCAGUACAAAGGGACUCGAAUUAUUCAAUUUGAAUAAAAAGUGCAGAAUUUCUGCAAAUCAUCAGACUUAUCUCUGGCUCUUAGAUGGGUAUUUAAAUUCUGGGUCUUCGAUUGAUUCUAAGAAGCUCCAUGGGCAAAUAUUGAAAUCUGG